CAGCAGCCGCGGUAAUACGGAGGGAGCUAGCGUUGUUCGGAAUUACUGGGCGUAAAGCGCGCGUAGGCGGUUACUCAAGUCAGAGGUGAAAGCCCGGGGCUCAACCCCGGAACUGCCUUUGAAACUAGGUGACUAGAAUCUUGGAGAGGUCAGUGGAAUUCCGAGUGUAGAGGUGAAAUUCGUAGAUAUUCGGAAGAACACCAGUGGCGAAGGCGACUGACUGGGCAAGUAUUGACGCUGAGGUGCGAAAGCGUGGGGAGCAAACAGGAUUAGAUACCCCUGUAGUCCCUGUCUCUUAUAA
RNAcentral lists this ribosomal RNA (301 nucleotides) under uncultured bacterium. RNAcentral's name for it is "partial 16S ribosomal RNA". It matches the Rfam family "Bacterial small subunit ribosomal RNA", at positions 509 to 809 of the family's 1533-position model. The record is from RNAcentral.